AGAGUUUGAUCCUGGCUCAGAAUGAACGCUGGCGGCGUGCUUAACACAUGCAAGUCGAACGAGAAUUCUUUAGCUUGCUAAAGAUAGUAAAGUGGCGCACGGGUGAGUAACGCGUGGGUAAUCUACCUUCGAAUUGGGAAUGACCCCUCGAAAGCGGGGCUAAUACCGGAUAAUAUCUUUAAAAUUUCGAUUUUCAAGAUCAAAGGUGGCCUCUACAUGUAAGCUACCGUUUGAAGAUGAGCCCGCGUACCAUUAGCUUGUUGGUAGAGUAAUGGCCUACCAAGGCUACGAUGGUUAGCUGGUUUGAGAGGAUGAUCAGCCACACUGGAACUGACACACGGUCCAGACUCCUACGGGAGGCAGCAGUGAGGAAUUUUGCGCAAUGGGGGAAACCCUGACGCAGCAACGCCGCGUGAGUGAUGAAGGCUUUCGAGUCGUAAAGCUCUGUCAAGUGGGAAGAACUUAUUUGAUACUAAUAUCAUCAAAUAUUGACGGUACCACUGAAGGAAGCACCGGCUAACUCCGUGCCAGCAGCCGCGGUAAUACGGAGGGUGCAAGCGUUAUUCGGAAUUAUUGGGCGUAAAGAGCGCGUAGGUGGUCCCUUAAGUCAGAUGUGAAAGCCUUCCGCUUAACGGAAGAAGUGCAUUUGAAACUAAGAGACUUGAGUAUGGGAGAGGGAAGUGGAAUUCCUGGUGUAGAGGUGAAAUUCGUAGAUAUCAUGAGGAACACCGGUGGCGAAGGCGACUUCCUGGACCAAUACUGACGCUGAGCGCGAAGCGUGGGGAGCAAACAGGAUUAGAUACCUGGUAGUCACGCAGUAAACGGUGAACACUAGUGUAGCGGGUAUUGACCCCUGCUGUGCCGCAGUAACGCAUUAAGUGUUCCGCCUGGGGGAGUACGACCGCAAGGUUAAACUCAAAGGAAUUGACGGGGCCCGCACAGCGGUGGAGCAUGUGUUUCAAUCGACGCACGCGAAGACCUUACCUGAAUUGACAAUCCCGAGAAGUCUUCGAAGAUAGAUGUGCCCUUCGGGGAACUCGGUGACAGGUGCUGCAUGCCUGUCGUCAGCUCUGUCUGAGAAUGUUGGUAGUCCCGCACGGAGCGCCAACCCUUAUCUUUAGUACAUCAUUAGUGGACUCUGAGAUAUCUGCCUGCACGGAGAGGUGGGAUGACGUCAGUC
This 1180-nucleotide ribosomal RNA is filed under the name uncultured bacterium. Its description in RNAcentral is "bacterial SSU rRNA". It matches the Rfam family "Bacterial small subunit ribosomal RNA", at positions 8 to 1191 of the family's 1533-position model. The record is from RNAcentral.